AACGAACGCUGGCGGCAUGCCUAACACAUGCAAGUCGAACGCAUGUAGCAAUACAUGAGUGGCGAACGGGUGAGUAACGCGUGGGAACCUGCCUAGUGGUAGGGAAUAACCGCGGGAAACUGCGGCUAAUACCCUAUGAGCCCUCCGGGGAAGAUUUAUCGCCAUUAGAGGGCCCGGCGUCGGAUUAGCUAGUUGGUGGGGUAACGGCCCACCAAGGCGACGAUCCGUAGCUGGUCNGAGAGGA
This 244-nucleotide ribosomal RNA is filed under the name uncultured bacterium. RNAcentral's name for it is "partial 16S ribosomal RNA". It matches the Rfam family "Bacterial small subunit ribosomal RNA", at positions 29 to 300 of the family's 1533-position model. The record is from RNAcentral.